GCACCUUGAAAACUGAACAAUACGAAAGCAAAAGCAACAAUAGAGGAAAUGUUAAAAUGUUAUUCCGAUCUUAAUUUAUAGAUCAGCAAAUAGGUUUUGACGUUUAUAUUGUUGGGAUAUGAUCGAAAAGAUCAUACUACAAAAUAGCUAAAUUUAACCGAGAUUACUCUAAUAAUUGAGAUAAACGAAACCGCCUGAACUGAAACAUCUAAGUAGGGCGAGGAAGAGAAAUCAACCGAGAUUCCGCUAGUAGUGGCGAGCGAACGCGGAAGAGGCCAAACCGGAGGUAGCAAUAUUUCCGGGGUUAGGACUGCAAUAUGUAACUUUAAUCUUUAACUGAAUGCUUUGGGAAGAGCAGCGAUACAGGGUGAUAGCCCCGUAAGUGAAAAGGAUUGAGUGCUAGCAGUAUCCAGAGUACCAGCGGACACGUGAAACCCGCUGGGAAGAUGGGGGGACCAUCCUCCAAGCCUAAAUACUACUCAGUGACCGAUAGUGGAGCAGUACCGUGAGGGAAAGGUGAAAAGUACCCCGGGAGGGGAGUGAAAAAGAACCUGAAACCUUGUGCCUACAAGCACCGAGAGUCCGUUAAUGGAUGAUCGGGUACUUUUUGUAGAACGGUCCGGCGAGUUAAUAUUUGCAGCGAGGUUAAGGAACUGGAGUUCCGGAGCCGCAGCGAGAGCGAGUCUGAAAAGGGCGUAUGAAGUUGCAGGUAUUAGACCCGAAACCGGGUGACCUAUCCAUGAGCAGGCUGAAGCGGUGGUAAGACACCGUGGAGGGCCGCACCCACGUCUGUUGAAAAAGCCGGGGAUGACUUGUGGAUAGCGGAGAAAUUCCAAUCGAACUCGGAGAUAGCUGGUUCUCCCCGAAAUAGCUUUAGGGCUAGCGUUAUUUUAGAUUACCGGAGGUAAAGCACUGAAUGGUCUAGGGGCCGCGAGGUUACCAAAGCCUAUCAAACUCUGAAUGCCGGAUAAUUGAUGAAUAGCAGUCAGACUGUGUGAGAUAAGUCUCAUAGUCAAAAGGGAAACAGCCCAGAUCUACAGCUAAGGUCCCAAAUGAACACUAAGAAGUCAGAGCGGAAGCACUGGUGGACUGCAUACGAGUGAGAAUGCCGGAAUAAGUAGCGAGAAUUAUGUGAGAAUCAUAAUGGCCGAAAAUCUAAGGUUUCUUGGGGAAGGUUCGUCCGCCCAAGGUUAGUCGGGAGCUAAGCUCAGGCCGAAAGGCGUAGGCGAUGCACAUACGGUAGAAAUUCCGUAACCACCGAACAUUUAAGCUAGAGGGACGCUUUCAUUAAGUCUAUCCCGGGCGAUGGUUGCCCCGGGCGUAAGGGACCGAAAUUUAGUAGGGAAGUAGACGGCGUGAGAGACGAGAAAAGCUCUAGUGUAUACUAAGGUGCCCGUACCGCAAACCGACACAGGUAGAUGGGAUGAGUAUUCUAAGGCCAACGGGAGAAGGGUUGUUAAGGAACUCGGCAAAUUGGCCCCGUAACUUCGGGAUAAGGGGCGCCUGCGAGAGCAGGCCGCAGUGAAAAGGCCCAAGCGACUGUUUAGCAAAAACACAGCUCUCUGCUAAAUCGAAAGAUGACGUAUAGGGGGUGACGCCUGCCCGGUGCUGGAAGGUUAAGGGGAGUGCUUAGCAGCAAUGCGAAGGUGCGAACUUAAGCCCCAGUAAACGGCGGCCGUAACUAUAACGGUCCUAAGGUAGCGAAAUUCCUUGUCAGGUAAGUUCUGACCCGCACGAAUGGCGUAACGA
Molecule: ribosomal RNA, 1749 nt
Filed under: human gut metagenome
Description: bacterial LSU rRNA
Rfam family: Bacterial large subunit ribosomal RNA
Source: RNAcentral